This 189-nucleotide ribosomal RNA is filed under the name uncultured bacterium. Its description in RNAcentral is "partial 16S ribosomal RNA". It matches the Rfam family "Bacterial small subunit ribosomal RNA", at positions 338 to 524 of the family's 1533-position model. The record is from RNAcentral.
CCUACGGGAGGCAGCAGUGAGGAAUAUUGGUCAAUGGGCGUAAGCCUGAACCAGCCAAGUCGCGUGAGGGAUGAAGGUUCUAUGGAUCGUAAACCUCUUUUAUAAGGGAAUAAAGUGCGGGACGUGUCCCGUUUUGUAUGUACCUUAUGAAUAAGGAUCGGCUAACUCCGUGCCAGCAGCCGCGGUAAU